UUUUAUUCUCGGCGGUACUCGACACGGAGCAACUCCUCGUUGUCCAAAAUCCCCGGAGAAAGAGGGAGAGAGUCAGAGGCGGAGCAGCCGCGGAGAAGCGGCGGCGCUAGCAAGCUAUGGAGUACCGCAACAAGUUGGUGCUCGCGCCCAUGGUCCGCGUGGGUACUCUGCCGUUCAGGCUACUGGCUGCUGAGUAUGGCGCUGAUAUUACAUACGGAGAAGAAAUUGUAGAUCAUAAGUUUUUGAAGUGUGAACGUGUUGCAAAUGAAUCUCUUGGGACUACUGAUUUUUUGGAGAGAGGGACUGAUAAUUUAGUUUUCCGAACGUGCCCACAAGAAAGGGACAGGGUUGUAUUUCAAAUGGGGACAUCAGAUGCCGUGAGGGCACUUAAAGCUGCUCAGAUUGUGUGUAAUGAUGUUGCAGCUAUAGAUAUCAACAUGGGUUGCCCAAAGUCUUUCUCUGUCAGUGGAGGAAUGGGUGCUGCAUUACUCUCCAAACCUGAGCUUAUACACGAUAUUUUGACCACACUGCGAAGGAACUUGGACACAACCUUGACAUGUAAAAUCCGUCUUCUGAACACACGUCAGGACACUGUGGAGUUGGCACGACGGAUUGAGAAAACCGGUGUUCCAGCUCUGGCUGUCCAUGGAAGAAAGGUCAAAGACAGGCCAAGAGAUCCCUCUAAGUGGGAUGAGAUUGCCGAUGUUGUGUCCGCAUUGUCAAUUCCAGUUAUAGCUAAUGGGGAUGUUUUUGAGUACGAUGAUUUUAAGAGAAUCAAAGAUGCCACAGGUGCCACGUCUGUAAUGGCUGCUAGAGGUGCCCUGUGGAAUGCAUCUAUUUUUUGUGCCAAAGGGACAACACCUUGGGAGGAGGUCAAAAGAGAGUACAUAAGAAAGAGUAUUUUGUGGGACAAUGAUGUGAAGAGCACAAAACAUACAUUAAAAGAAAUGAUAAUGCGCUAUUCUUGCCUUGAACUCGCUGAAGGGAAAGGUGUGAUAAAGUGUGAUUCAUCAGCAGAUAUAGCGAAACUUUACAAGGAAGAGGACUACUAUAAUUUUGUUGUUUCAAACAGGAAAUGAACAAAACUUGGUUUUGCUAACCCUUCAUGCGACCCAGUGGAGUUUUGGAGAAUUUCAUCAUAUCACCAGCCAAUACGAGCUGGGGAGAAACUUCGAAUGCCUUAUAUGUUUUGGCUCCUUUUCAAGUAUUCCAUGAAUGUCUUUUUGGCCUGACGUUUGCCGCAGUUGUACACAGUAGAAUGCCUUCAGUCACCUGGUUGCUUUGACUGUACCAAUGGUCGGCUUACCUCCUGCGUUCUGGAUUCUGGAAGCACAAAAUCUGCGUCAUCCAUGACGUCAGAGAUAUCAUCGACAAUGGUAUUUCUUGUGAAAGGACUUGUUGCUAUAUACACUGGAGUUUCAGUCUUUCACGGUAUCUCACUCAGCUUUCUGUAACCAAAGACUUGUUGGACUAGACCCCUACGGCCUACGCUAUGUUGAACGAUAUUCCCAUCCAGAACUAAUGUUUUGAAUCUGAACAGACAAAAACCAAUUUCCCCUCCAAUCUACAGUGUAGGUCCUUCUUUAGCAUUUUCAGUCCUACAGCCACAGUGUAUUUUCGCUCAUUUUCCUAUUUAUCCUCGUUGUUUCAUCAAGAACUAAAUUAUGCAAAAUAAGUUGUAGAAAGAAUUAAGAA
Molecule: RNA transcript, 1695 nt
Organism: Brachypodium distachyon (stiff brome)
Lineage: Eukaryota; Viridiplantae; Streptophyta; Magnoliopsida; Poales; Poaceae
Gene name: tRNA-dihydrouridine(20) synthase [NAD(P)+]-like
Exons: 11
Source: RefSeq, a predicted model, not a curated record